AUGUUUGACCUUCUAUUUAGAUACAGCUUUCAUCACAAUUUAGAUUCUUUAUUUUUAUUUUUUUUUUAGAUUUACACAAAUUCUUGUUAACAAUUUGUUAUUCUCAGCAUCGACAGCUGGGGAACCACCGGCAUUGUCGCCGGCCAGUCUUUGAUUCAUCUCGAGGAACAGGUUCGCGCGAAGAACAAAUCUGAGGCUUAUGAUGGAAGAUGAGAUGAGUCAUGAAAGCGCCGCGACUAACGAUGCUCCAUUCGGGUUUUGGUUUGACAUGAGGAAGGUGGAGAAAGUGGAGGCGCUUGGUGGAGGUGAGAGGCAAGAAAUAAAUGAAAGAAUUCACCUCGAAAUCAAUUGCAGGGAGUUUGACCAGGACGAAAGUGAUGGAGAUCUGAUCAUCACUUAUCCAAUGAUGUUAGUGGUAUUAGA
This 423-nucleotide long non-coding RNA is filed under the name Daucus carota (carrot). RNAcentral's name for it is "long non-coding RNA (DCAR_LNC002277)". The record is from RNAcentral. Lineage: Eukaryota; Viridiplantae; Streptophyta; Magnoliopsida; Apiales; Apiaceae.